This 450-nucleotide ribosomal RNA is filed under the name uncultured bacterium. RNAcentral describes it as "bacterial SSU rRNA". It matches the Rfam family "Bacterial small subunit ribosomal RNA", at positions 29 to 470 of the family's 1533-position model. The record is from RNAcentral.
AGCGAACGCUGGCGGCGCGCCUUACACAUGCAAGUCGAACGUGAAAGGGCUUCGGCCUAAGUAAAGUGGCGCACGGGUGAGUAAUACGUAGAUAAUCUACCCUAGAGCCUGGGAUAACCUGCCGAAAGGCGGGCUAAUACCGGAUAGAGCGAGGGGUUCGUGAAGGACCUUUCGGGAAAGGGAGCUCGCAAGAGCCCUCACUUUAGGAUGAGUCUGCGCCCGAUUAGCUAGUUGGUGGGGUAAUGGCUCACCAAGGCGAUGAUCGGUAGCUGGUCUGAGAGGAUGAUCAGCCACACUGGAACUGAAACACGGUCCAGACUCCUACGGGAGGCAGCAGUGGGGAAUCUUGCGCAAUGGACGAAAGUCUGACGCAGCGACGCCGCGUGAGUGAAGAAGGCCCUGGUGUAAGCUCUGUUGAAGGGACGAACGAUAGCUUGAGGUUAAGUAAGU